AGAGUGAACGCUGGCGGCAGGCCUAACACAUGCAAGUCGAACGGCAGCACAGAGGAGCUUGCUCCUUGGGUGGCGAGUGGCGGACGGGUGAGGAAUACAUCGGAAUCUGCCUUAUCGUGGGGGAUAACGUAGGGAAACUUACGCUAAUACCGCAUACGACCUACGGGUGAAAGCGGAGGACCGCAAGGCUUCGCGCGAUAAGAUGAGCCGAUGUCGGAUUAGCUAGUUGGUGGGUGAUGGCCUACCAAGGCGACGACGGGUA
RNAcentral lists this ribosomal RNA (262 nucleotides) under uncultured bacterium. Its description in RNAcentral is "partial small subunit ribosomal RNA". It matches the Rfam family "Bacterial small subunit ribosomal RNA", at positions 26 to 285 of the family's 1533-position model. The record is from RNAcentral.